UACGUAGGGGGCUAGCGUUGUCCGGAUUCAUUGGGCGUAAAGAGCUCGUAGGCGGCCACUCAAGUCGAAUGUGAAACCUCGAGGCUUAACCUCGAGCCUGCAUUCGAUACUGGGCGGCUAGAGUCUGGUAGGGGGAUCUGGAAUUCCUGGUGUAGCGGUGGAAUGCGCAGAUAUCUGGAGGAACACCGGUGGCGAAGGCGGCGUCCUGGACCAACACUGACACUGAGGAGCGAAAGCCAGGGGAGCAAACGGG
RNAcentral lists this ribosomal RNA (253 nucleotides) under uncultured bacterium. Its description in RNAcentral is "partial 16S ribosomal RNA". It matches the Rfam family "Bacterial small subunit ribosomal RNA", at positions 524 to 776 of the family's 1533-position model. The record is from RNAcentral.